RNAcentral lists this long non-coding RNA (7775 nucleotides) under Prunus dulcis (almond). RNAcentral describes it as "sRNA ncRNA". Lineage: Eukaryota; Viridiplantae; Streptophyta; Magnoliopsida; Rosales; Rosaceae. The record is from RNAcentral.
AAAAAAGGAUCCAAAAACCCAAAAGGGGGAAAUAGAAACCGCCAGACUGUAUAUAUAUACACACACACUCUUCCCCUCCCCCACUAUACCCGUUACCUGUUUCCUGCCUACAAAACCCACUGGGGGAUCUCUCAACUCAAGACCGAGCACAUUUUCACUUCCUUUCAAGCUCUGCCCUUUUCAUUUAUCCUUUUUAUCGUUUGAGUCACAUUCACUGAUCCACAGCUAAAGCAGCCAAUUUUCUUUCUGCUACUCUCUGUAAGUCUCUCUCUCUCUCUCUCUCUCUCUCUCUCUCUCUCUCUCCCGCACACACAAUGCUGUUCUUCUGUGAGAACAUGGUUGAUGUUGGAUUGGGUUUCUGUUUUCUUCUUUCUGAGGAAGCUAGGAACAGGACAAUGAUUUAACUGACUAGAAGGUAUGGCAGUGACAAUGGCCUCUGUAAUGGUCCAUUCUGACCGAACCCAUAACCCCCUUAUGCUCCUUUGUCUUUCUGAGAUUUGAGUAGUAGGUAUGGCAGGACAACGAUUUGACUUAUUCUUUUUAUUUGAAGUCUUGUUUUGAUUUGUUUUUUUUCGUGUUUUUAUGUGGGCAUGUUUGAAUCUUUGUGCAAUGUGAAAUAAGUUGAAAAUACAUGGUGAUAGAGUUCCACAUGAUCAAAAAGAGAAUACAAUAAACUAAGCAGAACUAGGAUUUAAAAAUUUGUUCGUGGGGGGCGAUUGAGCGUACUAUAUGAAUUUCCUUGGUGAUAAUUAUUAGCUCUUAGUAUAUAUUAAUGGGUUUUACAUAAUCUGGGGGGCGCAGGACCCCAUCAUAUGUCUAGCUGUAGUUCCUGAACAAGGACAAUAUCAAAUACUUCUAUACUUCUCUUUUCUUGCAUUUUCUCAGCGACCAAACAGAGAAUGGCUAGAACAAAUGAUAAGCAUCGUGUAAUUUCUCUAUUUUGUUGGUUUAUCAGAGUAAAAGAGGAGCUUGGAUCUGGACGAGUUAGAAUGGUUUGGGUUUCAUUACCAGUCGUGGGUAUGUUGUUGGUUUGGUGGUGGGUAGGUUUCAGUGCGGUGAAUGCAGAUUACAUCAAGUACAAAGAUGCUAAUCAACCAGUGGCUUCUCGAGUUGGAGAUCUUCUUAGCAGAAUGACUCUUGAAGAGAAAAUUGGUCAGAUGGUACAGAUUGAUCGCAGUGUUGCCAAUGUUGAUACUAUGAGAACUCACUCCAUUGGUAAUGUGUAUAUACAUACAUACAUAUAUUAUAUAUAUAUGUGUGUGUGUGUGUGUGUGUGUGUGUGUGUGUGUGUAUGUUUAUAUCAAAUAUGUCUAAAUACAACCUUCGGUUGUGUUUGGUGCACAUCAACAUAAGUUCUCCAAUUUGUAGUGUCCAUGUAACUUAUGAAAUAAGUGCCUUUUGUCUGGCAUAGUCUUUCUCAUAUGUUAUCAUGCAUUUGAUUCCUGCUUUAGCUCCAAAUCAAGCCAUUAUGUGUUUCAUCUUCUUGUGGGCUUAUAGAUGCCUUUACAGAGGAGUUGAGGUGUCAAUAUUAGUCUUUAUACUUGAUCAGGAACUUUUCACUAUCAUGUGUAUAGAUAUACAAGCUAUGAUGGAACUGCAAAAGUCUUGUAGCUCAAGUGGUUAAGAGCAUUUACCCCUGUACUCAAGGUCCUUUGUGUUGAAUUUCUUGCUUGGUACAAAACCAAGGAAACAAAAGUGGAAAAUAUGACUUUGACUCUGAAAGGAGUAAGACCUGUCCUCGUAUGAGGUUGGGUCUUCUUUAUGCAGUUAAGAGGGCUUUAGUUUGUUCUCCCUUAUUCCUUUCAUUUUCCUUCGUAUUCUUUGCUGCCUUGCUGGGGAGUAAGAGAUUUUCUGUCAUGAUGUUGGGUUUUCUGCUUUGGUUUGUUGUGACUGAUUCUUUUUAUGGCCCAUUCUUUGGUUCCAUGUGCUCUCUCUCUCUCCCCCUCCCUUGCUCUUUUUAUUGUUUAAUUCUCUGAUGACCUUAAUUUAAGGAAUGCAUCAAUUCAACCAGAUAACAUAAAUCAAAUCACUAGACAUGAUUUACAGCAACCAGCAUUGCAGGAAGAGAAAUAACAUCGAAUGCAAUGAUAUGAUAAGACAAAAUGGAGUGAUGAUGUGUUUUGAUUUAUGCAGGCAGUGUAUUGAGUGGUGGUGGCAGUGCACCCCUUCCAGAAGCUAGCGCUGAGGACUGGGUUAACAUGAUUAAUGAAUUUCAGAAGGGAGCUCUAGUUAGUCGUUUGGGCAUUCCAAUGAUCUAUGGCAUCGAUGCUGUGCAUGGACACAACAAUGUCUAUAAUGCUACAAUAUUUCCGCAUAAUGUUGGGCUUGGAGCUACCAGGCAAGUAAAAGUUUCAGAUUCUAUUGCAUCAUAUUUAAAACAUGAUAGCGCAUUGUACAAUUAUUACACAAAGAAUGAGAUCUACUGCUUCACUGUCUUUUCAAUGCAAAACUACUUAACUGUCUAACUUCAACAAGGGCCAUUAGGGUCAUACUCCAGCAAGCAUUAAAAUAACAUACCACGCAUGUCAAAAUCCUUUGAGAUGAUGGGCGUUUUAUGUUUUAUUAAAUGUGUCUGCUUUCUAUUUAAUAAUUCCAGUAUACAGGGAUCCUGAAUUGGUACGAAGAAUUGGUUCUGCAACUGCUCUUGAAGCCCGAGCUACGGGGAUUCCUUAUGUAUUUGCUCCAUGCAUUGCGGUAAACAAUACAUUGCAAAAGAAAUUAUAAGUUUUCAACAUUUUCUUCUUUUAUAUGGAUGAUGAGGUCAUAUGAGUGCUUUACUAUUUUCUCGAUUGGGUGACUUCUCUGCUUAACCUGGAACUUCCUAUAUAGGUCUGUAGAGAUCCAAGAUGGGGUCGGUGUUAUGAAAGCUACAGUGAGGAUCACAAAAUUGUGCAAGAAAUGACGGAGAUUAUUCCAGGUUUACAGGGAGAUAUUCCUGCAAACUCUCGGAAAGGAGUUCCAUAUGUUGGUGGAAAGUAUGAAUUUUAUGUAAAAUAAAGUACUUUAAAUCUUUUUUUUUUUUUUUUUGGGUCUUUUCAUUCUCUCUUUCAUUUUCCUUCAUUUGAUUUUAGAAGACAUACAGUCAUUAUUAGCUAGUAGCUAGUAUCGUCCCUGAUGCUAAUUUGCUUGAUUUUGUGACUUUAAGAAAGAUAAUCUGGUAAACGUAAUAUAUGUCGUGUAUUCGUAGUUAUAGAUUCAAUUUAUCAAAUGAAUUCAGUGAUUCCUUUUUCUUUCAAAAUUUUUGGCUGGUAGUGAGUCCUGAUAAAUAAGCUAUAUAUGUAAUUUUUUAUUGUUUAAAACUAUAUGAUAAGCUUAAACCGACAUAAUGAUAAAGCUACCUUCCCUGAUCUCAUGGUUUGCCUUGCACAAUAUAUCAGUAGUGUAUCAAGGCAUUGUUACUAAAACAUUUCUCCUUAUUUUUCUUGGACUAUUGUUAAUUGGUGAAACUGUGUUUCAACUGCUGAAAUUCUAUGUUCUGUACUCACCUGUAUUCAGCCCAAUAGGAGGGAAGAGGAAACAAAAAAAGUUUGUCCUGGUUUUCUGAAUGAAUGUAUCCAUGUGCACUUAUCUAAAUGUUUUUUAAUACUAAUAUUUCAACGUUUCAGUCAUUCCUGAUGUAUUUAUUGUUUUAUUAUAUUUUAGUAAAAAGGUUGCAGCUUGUGCGAAGCACUUUGUGGGUGAUGGAGGGACAACCAGGGGCAUUAAUGAGAACAACACUGUGGUUGACCGUCACGAGUUGCUUAGCAUCCACAUGCCUGCCUAUUCUGAUUCAAUCAUCAAGGGUGUCGCAACAGUGAUGAUUUCCUACUCCAGUUGGAAUGGGGAAAAGAUGCAUGCAAACCGCGACCUAGUUACUGGCUUCCUCAAGGGCACCCUUAAGUUUAAGGUUACAAUUUCCUUUUCUUUUUCCUUUAUUUUUAUUUUUAUGUAGUAUCCAAGGUUAUUACAGUUUUUCUGGUAACUAUCUACGAUGCAAAUAAGAUGACAUGCGCAGAAAGAUUUCAAUUUGAAUUGUGUUAUUAUGUAUGUACUGAUAUUUGAUGUUAGCACAUAACUAACUUGCUCAAUGUUAACAUUCUACCAUGAGUUAUGUGAAAGGUUUCUCUCAACAUUAUGUAUUUACCACAUGUUGAGUUUUUAAGCCUUCAGUCUUAUCCGGCAGAAAAGUGUCCUUGCAUAUUGCAAAAUUAUCGGUAAUUUAAAUUGUGGGGUAUUCCCUUCUGUGACAUCUCAAACUCUUAUUCGUGACUAGUUGACUGUUUCAUAACUGUUUUUCCCUCAAUGUAUCUGCAUUUGGGUGUUUUCCUUUUUCAAAUGCUUGUCGGUCUGAUCUGUUUUUGUCACUUUUCUCAACUUGCAUAUUUUCCACAUGUUGCGUCUUAAUGCCUUCAGCAUGUCCAAUUAAAUUCAAAUUACUUGCACAUUAAUGUGGUCAGGUGUUCUUGCAUAUUGCAAAGUAGUCUGCAUGAUUCUUUACGUGCUUUCCGAUGUUGCUACUUAGCGUCUGUUGAUGGAUUCAUUGCAUUUACAUAUUUUCUCAUCUUAAUUUUAUUGUGUUUUUUGAACUUGUUUGUUGACUGCUGAACAAUUUUACCAUUACAAACUGUUGUCUUUGGAGACUGUAUUGUACCUUUCCCUGUGUUCUGCAGUAUUAACUAUUUUAUGCUAACAGCACAUGGUGUUUUGGUUGAACAUUCAGGGUUUUGUUAUAUCAGACUGGGAGGGUGUUGACAGGAUUACCUCCCCACCACAUGCAAACUACUCAUACUCCGUCCAAGCUUCAAUUCUAGCUGGACUUGAUAUGGUUAGUGGCUUAUUUUAUAAACAAACAUCUCAUAGAAAUGAAAGAAGAUAAGUCUUUCCUACACUGUAAUCAGUGCAGCAAUGAGAAACUGAAGUAUAUGAUUAUAAAACUCUGAACAUGGUUGUCUGUGAUUUGAAGAUCAUGAUCCCUUUCAAGUAUAUAGAGUUCAUUGAUGAUCUCAUCUCCCUGGUCAAAAACAACGUUGUCCCAAUGGAUCGAAUUGAUGAUGCUGUGGGAAGGAUUCUGCUUGUCAAGUUCACCAUGGGUCUUUUUGAGAACCCUUUGGCUGAUCUCAGCCUAGUCAAUGAGCUUGGAAGCCAGGUCAGUUUAUCAGAGAUUAUCAAAUAUCAGGAUUUGUGACUUUCAUAUUGUGUUUUUUUUUAUUUUUAAAUUUACAUAUAUUGGCUUGCUCUCUAGCUGGAUAAAAAUGGAGUGGAGAUUAUUAUAAAAUAAAAAAUGAUAGAGUGGUUCCUAUUACAAUUGUUUGUACUUUCAGUGGCCAGAAAUUGCCUUCCAAGUUCCAUGGUCUUUCCUUGUCAAUUGUCAAUGUUAAUAAAGAGCUUAGUAAGUUUCAUACUUUGUAAUAACUACCCUGAAUCAAUGGGCUGCUUAUUUAUUUCUAAUUUUAACUUUCCUAGGCUCAUAGAGACUUGGCAAGGGAAGCAGUCAGAAAAUCACUUGUGCUUCUGAAGAACGGAAAAAACGGAACAAAUCCAAAUCCGGUCAUACCUCUUCCCAAGAAGGUGUCCAAAAUCCUAGUUGCUGGCAGUCAUGCUGAUAAUCUAGGUUACCAAUGUGGUGGAUGGACAAUGGAAUGGCAAGGAUUCAGUGGCAACAACUAUACAAGAGGUAGGGUCUUCUUUCAUGGUUAUAUUUGUUAAUAUUUAACUUUCUGUCUAUAUGCAGUACUUUUGUGUUCCACAAUGAAUGACAGAAAUUGCUGUCUGUAAAAACAGAGCAUUGAGUACUUACUGAGAAGAUUAUGAAAUUGCUUGUUAGGUGUAAAAUGUAGAAACAUUGUCUCCAUAAUUAUGAGAAUGAACAGGAAAUAUGUAGCCAUGUGUACGUGCAUGCAUAUGAUUUUCUGAUUGUUACUUUGAAUGUACCAAAUCUUUGUUGCAUACUUUUAAUGAAAAAACAUUACAGUUGGGGUGAUUUAGCUAGUCCAGUCCUUGAUGAUUCCUAAUGACAAGCAUGAGCAUGAUAUGGAUGCAGAUUAAAAGCUACUAAAGUAAAAAAAAUAUUUCAAUUUCCUGAACUUCUCUUCGAAUAUUAUCUUGUGCAAUGAGAUUUAGUCUAAAUUUCUUUAGAUUAUGUGCAAAUAUCCUUCAAGCACAUUUUUCUUUAAGAAUUUUGAAUUCCAGGAAACUACUUUAGCAAUAAUAGUGACGAAAGUAUUUUUCAUGAGUAGGAACCACAAUCCUCAGUGCCAUAAAAUCAACAGUUGAUUCGAGCACAGAAAUUAUCUACCGUGAGAAUCCUGAUGGAAAUUUUGUAAAGUCCAACAACUUUGCAUAUGCCAUUGUUGUUGUUGGCGAGCACCCUUAUGCUGAGACUUCAGGAGACAGCAUGAACCUAACGAUGGCAGAGCCUGGCCCAAGUGUCAUCAGCAAUGUGUGUGAAAGUGUCAAGUGCAUUGUUAUCAUAAUUUCUGGCAGACCUAUUGUAAUUGAACCAUAUAUUUCCUCAAUUGAUGCCCUGGUGGCAGCAUGGUUGCCAGGCACUGAAGGCCAAGGUAUUACCGAUGUCCUUUUUGGGGAUCAUGGGUUCAGUGGAAAACUUCCAAGAACAUGGUUCAGAACUGUAGAUCAACUCCCAAUGAAUUUUGGGGAUACACACUAUGAUCCACUUUUCCCUUUAGGUUUUGGAAUCGAAACUGAGUCAAUCAAGGAGCUUGUAACAAGGUAAUUUUUCAUUUAUAUCAUGACCUCAUCUAUAUAAUCUUGUUACCCUCUUUUUUCUUUUCACUACUGUUUGAUGCAUUUCUUCCAUCAUGGUUUUUGCUUUCAGUCCAUCUUUCUCUUUCUUGCAUUUGAACGAAACCUGGACCAUGGGAAACUUUAAUGACAAAUUUAGGCCAUUAACUUUCAAUUAUAUUUCUGAUUAACUUUAUCUUUUGCAAUUUUCACGUUGGUUUGUAAUCAGUCUCUAAUGAGCUCGUACGUUAAAACUUCACUGAUAAAGAAAAGGAAAUGAAAUUUUUAUGAGGCACUUGUGGUGGCUUUAGGUUCAUUCUUCAUUACUACCUAUGUUUUAUAGCAUUUGUGCACGCCAGUUUAGAAGAAAUGAAAAAACUUUGGUUGGCUGUAAUGAUACUCAUUACAGUUUGAUAAUGUCUGUAGGUCGACGUCAGAUGGUGUCGUUGGAAGGCCAUGCAUACUUGUCCUUGUGCUUGCUCUAAUUCUCAGCUUAUAGUUUAAAGGUAUAGUUUUACCUAAACAAUAAUUGGGUUCUCUUUUUUCACGACUGCAUAAUUCUCUGCUGCACCUUAGCAUUUGUGUAUACAUUUUCUUUUGCUCAUAAGCUGUUUGUUGGCUCUUAAAUUUCAGGAAGGUUUUUAGUAUAUUUCCACAGCAUUGGAUUUGGUAGAAUGAGCACAGCCAAAGUACUAGAUAUUAUUAACCUCUGGUGCAUUGACAGCAGCAAUUGCCUCAUGUUCAUGUUCUUGUCAGUACUCUCAGUUGCUUAUAUUAGGCCCCCCAAAUCCUUCAAUGUCGAGCCAUAGCCGUCGGAUUCACAAUCUGCCUUUCCAAAGAUUUAUUUUGAUUGUAAUGACCUGCAAAGUAUUUUAUCUUUGCUCGCAUAAUUUCAUGGAGAAUAAAUCACAUACUACUUUGGAAUGGGGCUUCUGAUCAGCAAAUACAUUGUUAUUGACUCAACUCAAAACUCCAUGACUAAAGUAUUAAUUUGAGAAUGUUAAGGUUAUGGACAUUGCUGAUCAUAUAUGCUAAAUAUGAAGAAUCAGGUUCAG